RNAcentral lists this ribosomal RNA (672 nucleotides) under uncultured bacterium. Its description in RNAcentral is "bacterial SSU rRNA". It matches the Rfam family "Bacterial small subunit ribosomal RNA", at positions 75 to 749 of the family's 1533-position model. The record is from RNAcentral.
GGUAGCAAUGCUGGUGAGUAAAGUGGCGACCGGGUGAGUAACACGUGGAUAACCUACCUUCGAGCGGGGAAUAACCCUGGGAAACCGGAGCUAAUACCGCAUAACAUCCUGGAGCGAUGGCGCUGGGAUUGAAACCUGGAAACGGGACUUGAAGAGGGGUCCGCGGCUGAUUAGCUAGUUGGUGAGGUAACGGCCCACCAAGGCUUUGAUCGGUAGCCGGCCUGAGAGGGCGGACGGCCACACUGGAACUGAAACACGGUCCAGACUCCUACGGGAGGCAGCAGUGGGGAAUUUUGCGCAAUGGGGGAAACCCUGACGCAGCAACGCCGCGUGGACGAUGAAGCAUCUUGGUGUGUAAAGUCCUUUCGGCAGGGACGAAAACGAGCAAUCGUUUGACGGUACCUGAAGAAGAAGCCCCGGCUAACUCCGUGCCAGCAGCCGCGGUAAUACGGGGGGGCGAGCGUUGUUCGGAAUUAUUGGGUGUAAAGGGUGCGUAGGCGGUGCGGUAAGUCUGGUGUGAAACCUCCAGGCUCAACUUGGAGCUUGCAUCAGAAACUGCCGUGCUAGAGUGUGGGAGAGGAGAGUGGAAUUCCCGGUGUAGCGGUGAAAUGCGUAGAUAUCGGGAGGAACAUCGGUGGCGAAGGCGGCUCUCUGGACCACAACUGACGCUGA